CUUACUGUGGUGUAAAUGGUGGUAUCCCAGGAGAAUGGAACCAAGCAUCCCAGUCAACUUGAUUCAAAAUGUCGGUCUAGUAGAGAAUGAAAGUAUUAGUGAGUCAAGGAAAACACUUCUGGAAAGAACUUUUGAAGGAAGCAUAAAUGUACCAAAGCAGCAUGGAUUUUGUCUUCCUAACAAUAUACUUUUUUAAUGUAAAUUCAAGCAAGGAUGCUCCAAGAGUAUGUUCACUCCACCUACCAUUAAAUAUGCACAGUGACUGGUAAACAGGAAGGACACAUCUGAAUCACCAGGGUGCUGGAGCUUUUUGCUGUUCCGUCAUUGGGUCAAAUUAAACGUCAGCCCAAAUAGACUGAAAAGAGAGUGCCGGUUGGGAUGAGAGCCGAUUUUACUCAUUCUCUGCAAUGGUUAUCUCCAUGGCUCUGAAGCUACGAAGACUACCCAGGCUGCUGUGCUCCGUGCCCUCUAAUAUAAUGAACCGAUGAGCGAAGCUUUGGGCCUACUCCAGGCUGUUCUGGAGUUUAGAUCUGACAACUCAAUUUUGUUUCGGAAUGCCAUUGUUGGCUUCAAUUGUUUGAAUGAUUUGUAUUUUUUCCUAUUUCUUGCACAUAACCUGUUGGUCUUCUAUUUUUUUCUUCUUUAAAUGGGUUCUUUCAGGUUUCUUGUGGCUACCUAUCAGCAAAUCUCAAGGUUGUAUAAUUUAUACAUUCUUCAAUAAUGAAUCUUCAUUUCAUUUUAAAAUCUUAAUUAUUAUUGAAAAUUAACAAAAAAGAUACAUUAAGUCAAUAUGUUAUUAUAUAUGAAUCUUGAAUCAUAUUGGCUGCUGAUAUUUAGCUAACUAGACAAACAUCCAUUAACUAACAAUUGAAGGAUCUCAGCUCAAAACAUUGACUAUUUUCUCUUCUCUAUAGAUGCUGUCUGCCUGCUGUGUUCCUCCAGCAUUUUGUGUGUGUUGCUAACAAUUUGCAAUCUUGCCUCUAAAUUCCUGCAAGUGAAACUCUCACGUAAGCAACAGGACUUUUCAAUUCUCCUGCUCUCACUCCAAAUCCUGAAUCCUGCAAGUGAAACUCUCAAAUAAUUAAGAGAAGCUUACAAAAUACUCACCUGACCCUCUGCCUCUUCUUACCAGAGCACUGAGCCAAAACUUCAGUUCCCCGCUCCAACCCUGUCCACUCAUACUAGGACUUUCCAUUUAAACCAAACUUUUUAUUGGCCACAGUGAAACUCAAACAACAAGGCUUGCUCUUUUCACUAAUUCCCAUUCACAGAGAGCUCACUCAUGAUCCUCCAAAGUGAAACUCCCAUGCAACGAGACUUGCUCUUUACAAUGCCUCCCACUCCCACUCACUAUCUUUCAAUGUAAAGGCCAUUUCUUUAGAAAUCAAUCAUUCUAGUUAAGGGCCAACAUUCAACUGUAUUUUAUUCUGAGUUCUAAGACCCUGCCUUCAAAUUACAGAUUCACACAUGCAUGAAUUCCUUUGAUUGUACUUUUUCAAGCCAGGUUGCUCAGCUUCCUAGCCUCAGGAUUAAUUAAUGCUACCCUGGCCACAUCAAGUAAUUAACCAAGAGUUUUUCUACUUCAGCUUUAGUCCACAAUGGAUAGGUUGAGGUGGCACAAGGGAAGCCAGCACCACUAGCAAAUUCAGCCAUUCAUAUACUGCAUUCAUCAGAUGCUGUUCCUGAGAAAGUAAUCUCAAGCCCAUCACCUUUUCAUGCCUUUAAGCCCUGGAAGGUAUCCAUGACUCCUCUGCAUAAAGAAAUUGCUUCCAUAGAUACUGUUUUAUUUAAAAGUCUCGAUUCCUCUGAACAGCAUUUGCCACCCCACCCUCCCCCAUAUUCCUGAGAGCAUCCACUUUCUCUUCCCAUCAUGACACGAUACAUCUUAGCAGUAACCUAAGUGCUGCCUGUAACACGCUCGUUUUUGUUUGAUAACUGUAGAGGGUGCAGCUGCAAAAUUGUGCAAAUAAUCUGCAGAGAUGUUUGUACCAAAAGUGAUGCUGCACGGUGUUACAUGGGAAAGCAAUGGUAUCUUGCAUUUAUCUGUGCCAUAGUAUUUAUGGUCCUUUCGUCAUGGAGUCAGUGCAUGAAAACAGCCCUUUAGACCACCAAGUCUAUGCUGACAAUCAAACACGCACUUACUCUAAUCAAUUUUGUUCACUUACAAUUCCUGCAGGAGAGAUUUAUGGCAGCCAAUUAAAACACCAACUCAUACUUUAGAACACAAGAGGAAACUGCAACACCGGGGGAACUGACACAGGCACAGGGAAAACAUUCAAACUGCACACAGGCAGCACAGGAGGUUGAACCUGGGUUUCCAACACCAGCACAGUUCCACCUGGAUGAAACAAUACUAAUUUAAUGCUACUUAAAUAUAAAACAGUUUCUUGACCAAACACCUGAUUGGUAGUUUAUGAGGGGCAAAACUAAUUAAAUAUCGCUCCAGCCUCACCUCUGGCUAUAAACCUACUCACAUGUCUGAUGUUGACACCAGCUCUGACCACAAACCACUCACACCGCUGAGAGUGAGCUGCAUGCCAAACCAACAGGAUAUCCAAGCAAAUGGAUGCUUGGAUGGGAGUUUUACUACACCUCUUACAAAAACUUGAUCAAUUUUGUGUCCAUACACAAAUUCAUCAGCAAAUAUAACAAAAUCUCCAUACAUAAAUUUCCAGAUUAAUCAGAAAGGCUGUGAAUACAUGACGGAUUAAUGCUCCAGACUUGUAAUAAUAUGAGUCAUGGCAAUAAAAGUUAAUCAUAACUCAGUUCCUCUCUUCAUAGAUCACGGCCUAACAUGCAUAGGUUUUUGCUUUUGGAUUCCAGAUUAAUUACCCUGGAUUAAUUUGGGAGAUGAAACAUUUCCACUGAAAAUUUUCUUAUUUUCAAUUACAGUCUCCAGCAAAUGGAAGACAUUAGCAGAGGAAAUUCAACAUUAGGGCAACUCAGAGACACAACUAGUGAAUUUCUACUUCACCGCUCCAGAGAACUGAGUUCAAGCCUUACUUCGGGUACCAGCUGUGUGGAAUUUGUAUGGAUUCCCUAUUACUGUGUUGGUAUCUUCUAGGUGUUCUAGCUUUUCUUCCCACACGCCAAAGUGAUUUAAUUUAACUUUGCAUCAUAAUUGGCACAGAUAUUAUGGGCCAAGUGACCUGUUACUGUGCUGUGCUAUGUUCUAUGUGCAGGUUGGUAGGUUAAUUGGACCCUGUAAAUUGACUAUAAUGUUUAGGUAAAUGGUAAAAUCUGGGGGGUGGGUGGCAUCGGAAGUUUUUUUAUUCUUCCCAUACAUGCAAGAUCAAUGGAUAACUGAUAAUUGGAGCAGACUUGGUAGGCUGAAAGGUCAGUUUCAGUGUUGACUCAAUGAAUCUAAAAUAGAAGCACUUUGAAAAUGGAAGAUUUAAAAACAGUUUAAAGGCAUUUUAAAAAGUAUGCAUUCUUUAAUGAAAUAAAGACGUGUUCUGCUGUCAAAAGCAUGCUAAAAUAGUUCUAUCUACUAGAUUUAUUCAAUUAUACUGUACUUGCCAUAUAAUUAUACACAGUUUGGGAAGUGGUAAUGGAAUAGGGGAAGGGAGAUGGAAUAAAAUGCUCAAAGUAUGUAAAAUUGCAAAUGUAAUAAACCUUUGCAAAAUAAGGAAAGAAACCUACAAGCCACUUAC
Molecule: long non-coding RNA, 3653 nt
Organism: Hypanus sabinus (Atlantic stingray)
Lineage: Eukaryota; Metazoa; Chordata; Chondrichthyes; Myliobatiformes; Dasyatidae
Exons: 3
Source: RefSeq, a predicted model, not a curated record